AACGAACGCUGGCGGCAGGCCUAACACAUGCAAGUCGAGCGAGCAUUUCGGUGCUAGCGGCGGACGGGUGAGUAACGCGUGGGAACGUGCCCUUUUCUGCGGAAUAGUCCUGGGAAACUGGGGGUAAUACCGCAUACGCCCUUUUGGGGAAAGAUUUAUCGGAGAAGGAUCGGCCCGCGUUGGAUUAGGUAGUUGGUGGGGUAAUGGCCCAUCAAGCCGACGAUCCAUAGCUGGUUUGAGAGGAUGAUCAGCCACACUGGGACUGAGACACGGCCCAGACUCCUACGGGAAGCAGCAGUGGGGAAUCUGAGACAAUGGGGGCAACCCUGAUGUAGCCAUGCCGCGUGAGUGAUGUAGGCCUUAGGGUAGUAAAGCUCUUUCAGCUGUGAAGAUAAUGACGGUACCAGCAGAAGAAGCCCCGGCUAACUCCGUG
This 433-nucleotide ribosomal RNA is filed under the name uncultured bacterium. RNAcentral describes it as "partial 16S ribosomal RNA". It matches the Rfam family "Bacterial small subunit ribosomal RNA", at positions 29 to 507 of the family's 1533-position model. The record is from RNAcentral.